Acipenser ruthenus (sterlet) is the source of this 74-nucleotide non-coding RNA. Lineage: Eukaryota; Metazoa; Chordata; Actinopteri; Acipenseriformes; Acipenseridae. The record is from the annotation of a RefSeq genome assembly.
GGCCGGUUAGCGCAGUUGGUUAGCGCGUGGUGCUAAAAAUGCUAAGGUCGCUGGUUCGAUCCCCGUAUGGGUCA